Non-coding RNA from Photobacterium iliopiscarium, 53 nucleotides. The record is from Rfam. Lineage: Bacteria; Pseudomonadati; Pseudomonadota; Gammaproteobacteria; Vibrionales; Vibrionaceae.
GGGGUUAUAGCUCAGCUGGGAGAGCGCCUGCCUUGCACGCAGGAGGUCUGCGG